UAAAUCUAUUUAAAAGCAAUAAACGGAUGCCUUGGGUAAAAAAGAGGAAGAAGGACGUAGCUGGCUGCGAAAAGUCUUGAUGAGAUGCCAACAAUCGCUUGGAGUCAAGAAUAUCCGAAUGGGGCAACCUAUUCUCUAUAAGAGAAUACAAAGUUGACAAUACUCGGUGAAGUGAAAUAUCUCAGUAACCGAAGGAAAAGAAAUCGUAAUGAGAUUCCCUUAGUAGUGACGAGCGAACAGGGAAGAGCCCAAACUCUAUUAGUGUAAGCUUCUAGGCGUUGCUAAUAAGAGGGUUGAAGGACUAUUUGUGAAGAGCUAGAAAUCUUCGAAUGGAGAGAUGUUAUAUUAGGAGAAGUGCUUGGAUGGCACACCAUAGGAGGUUAAAGUCCCGUAUCUGAAAAUAUGACACCACAUUAAAUAGCACCUGAGUAAUGUCGAACACGAGAAAUUCGGCAUGAAUCUGCCCAGACCACUGGGUAAGGCUAAAUACUUUUUUACACCGAUAGCGCAGAGUACCGUGAGGGAACGGUGAAAAGAACCCCAGGUAGGGGAGUGAAAUAGAACCUGAAAUUUAUUGCUUACAAUUGAGUGGGAGCCUUUGGGUGACCACGUACCUAUUGACGAAUGGGUCAGCGAGUUAUUGGUAGUAGCAAGGUUAAGGCAGUUAUAGCUGGAGCCGUAGCGAAAGCGAGUCUGAAUAGGGCGAAUAGUUAUUAUCAAUAGACCCGAAGCGGUAUGAGCUAGACAUGGGCAGGUUGAAGGCAUAGGAAACUAUGCUGGAGGACCGAACGGGUUGGUGCUGCAAAACCUUCCGAUGACCUGUGUUUAGGAGUGAAAAGCUCAUCGAAUACCGUGAUAGCUGGUUCUCUCCGAAAUGCAUUUAGGUGCAGCCUGUAUUUGAAGGUCUUGAAGAGGUAGAGCUCUGGAAAGGCUAGGGGGAUCGAGAGAUCUUACCAAACCUUACUAAACUUCGAAUGCUUCAAGGAAUAAUACAGAGUGGGACUAUGGGAGCAAGUUUCAUAGUCGAAAGGAUAACAGUCCAGACUUCUGAUUAAGGUCCCUAAAGUAAUGCUAAGUGGAAAAAGAGGUGUCUUUGCUUAUACAUCCAGGAGGUUUGCCUAGAAGCAGCAAUCCUUUAAAGAAAGCGUAACAGCUCACUGGACUAACGAAGAUGCGCUGAAGAUGUAACGGGGCUAAGCAUUAUACCGAAAUCGAAGACCAGUGUAGAAAUACACUGUGUGGUAGGAGAGUGUUCUUACAGGAUGAAGCUACACUGCGAGGUGUGGUCGACUAGUAAGAAGUAAAAAUGCUGACAUGAGUAACGCUUAUUGAUGAAAAUUCAAUAUAUCGAAACCCUAAGGAUUCCUACGCAACGUUCAUCGUCGUAGGGUUAGUCGGGACCUAAGGCGCAUCCUGAAAAGGAUGGUCGAUGGAUAACUGGUUAAUAUUCCAGUACUUAUUUAUAGAGUGAUGGGGUGACGCAUCGAGAUUUGUAAGAGCUUAUUAAGGAUUUGAGUCGAAAGAGUGAGGUUUUUAUGACGUUAGUCGUAAAGGUGGUUGCAGGAAAAUCCACAACUAUUGAUACUGAGCUUGAUCGGGAUUUAACUCCUCGGAGUUAGAAAUUCUUAUCGUUUUGGUGCCGAGAAAAACCUCUAAACUUAAUCUAUAGAUAACCCGUACCCAGAUCAGACACUUGUGGGGUGGUAGAGAAUACUAAGAUAAUCGAGAUAACUAAUGGGUAAGGAACUUGGCAAAUUAGCGGACGUACUUUCGAAAUAAGUCCUGUCCCGAGCAAUCGGGAUCGCAGCGAAAGAGAUGGGGGGAACUGUUUAUCAAAAACACAGCUCGCUGCUAACUCGUAAGAGGAUGUAUAGCGGGUGAUGCCUGUCCAAUGCCAGAAUGUUAUGCUCUCUUGUGCAAGCUCGAGGGUUAAGCACUGGUGAAUGACGGCCGUAACUAUGACGGUCCUAAGGUAGCGAAAUUCCUUGUCAGGUAAGUUCUGACGCGCAUGAAUGGCAUAAUCAUCCCCAUGCUGUCUUACCCUUAAACUCGGUGAAAUUACAUUCCCGGUAAAAA
This 2076-nucleotide ribosomal RNA is filed under the name human oral metagenome. RNAcentral's name for it is "bacterial LSU rRNA". It matches the Rfam family "Bacterial large subunit ribosomal RNA", at positions 1 to 2059 of the family's 2925-position model. The record is from RNAcentral.